Lolium perenne is the source of this 257-nucleotide non-coding RNA. The record is from RefSeq and is a predicted model, not a curated record. Lineage: Eukaryota; Viridiplantae; Streptophyta; Magnoliopsida; Poales; Poaceae.
CCCCCUCCAUCUUCUCCCCAACCUUAGAUGGUUUAAUCUCCUCUUCUUCUCCCUCCAUUGCUAAGAUUGGAUCUUGAUGCAGGUGCAUGUUGGUCCAAGCAUGGAGAAGGUUGAGCUAUCCUCAGAUCUGAUGUUCUUGAGCAAAAUCCAAAUCGAGUGGUUCAAAGUUCUGCAGAUAGAUCAAAAUCUGGUCAGAUCUGACUUUGUCGAAUUAAAUCAGGAGCUUGGAAACGAAUUUUUGAAUGAAACUAGUUGGG